CAAGCUCGCUUCUAUGGGUC
RNAcentral lists this microRNA (20 nucleotides) under Anolis carolinensis (green anole). RNAcentral's name for it is "aca-miR-99a-3p". Its record names the gene aca-miR-99a-3p. The record is from miRBase by way of RNAcentral. Lineage: Eukaryota; Metazoa; Chordata; Lepidosauria; Squamata; Anolidae.